GCAACCCGCAAGGCCGACGGCACCCGCCGCCGCUGGUGCAAGCCCAGCCGCCCCCACACAGGGCGGGCGCUCAUGGGUACACA
Molecule: non-coding RNA, 83 nt
Submitted as: unclassified sequences
Source: Rfam